GAAUUUACUGUUCAAAUGAAAAAGUUUGAUUUUAAUAAAAAGACGAGAAGACCCUUAGAAUUUUUUUUAAAAAGGAUUUUGUUCUUAAUGAUUUUGUUGGGGUGACAGAGAAAUAUUCAGAACUUUCUUUAAUUUUACAAGCCGAAUUUUUUAAGUAAGAAUAAAUUACCUGAGGGAUAACAGCAUUAUUCUACAGAUGAGUUUGUGACCUCGAUGUUGGACUAGGAAACUAGCAGGCUAGCCGUUUGCUGUGUGGGUUCUGUUCGAACUUUAAUUCCU
This 279-nucleotide ribosomal RNA is filed under the name Flabellina gaditana. Its description in RNAcentral is "partial 16S ribosomal RNA". Lineage: Eukaryota; Metazoa; Mollusca; Gastropoda; Nudibranchia; Flabellinidae. The record is from RNAcentral.